ACCCUUUCUUAAAUACUGAACAUACUGUGGGGACGAAAGUCUCUGCUUUUAACUAGAUAGCAACUUUCAGCAGUGGAUGUCUAGGCUCGCACAUCGAUGAAGAACGCUGCGAACUGCGAUACGUAAUGCGAAUUGCAGGAUUCAGUGAGUCAUCGAAAUUUUGAACGCAUAUUGCACUUCCGGGUUAGUCCUGGGAGUAUGCCUGUAUCAGUGUCCGUACAUCAACCUUGGUUUUCUUCCUUCCGUGUAGUCGGUGGAGGAUAUGCCAGACGUGAAGUGUCUUGCUAGCGGUCUUUCGAGUCUGCCGGUGAGUCCUUUUAAAUGUACUGAACUGUACUCUCUCUUUGCGCGAAAAGCGUGGCGUUGCUGGUUGUGGAGGCUGCCCGUGUGGCCAGUCGGCGACCGGUUUGUUAGCUGUGGCGUUUGGAGGAGUGUUCGAUUCGCGGUAUGGUUGGCUUCGGCUGAACAAUCUGCUUAUUGGGUGCUUUUCCUGUCAUGGCGGUAUGAACUGGUGAACCGUAGCUGUGUGGUGCUUGGCUUUUGAACCGGCUUUGCUCUGCGAAGUAGUGUGGCGGCUUCGGCUGUCGAGGGGUCGAUCCAUUUUGGGAAACUUUGUGUGUGCGGCUUCGUGCUGCGCGCAUCUCAAUGGACCU
This 653-nucleotide ribosomal RNA is filed under the name Phytophthora megasperma. RNAcentral describes it as "eukaryotic LSU rRNA". The stretch from base 62 to 216 matches the Rfam family "5.8S ribosomal RNA". Lineage: Eukaryota; Oomycota; Peronosporomycetes; Peronosporales; Peronosporaceae. The record is from RNAcentral.